GGGUGGUAAUGCCGGAUGCUCCAUCACACCGCAUGGUGUGUUGGGAAAGCCUUUGCGGCAUGGGAUGGGGUCGCGUCCUAUCAGCUUGAUGGCGGGGUAACGGCCCACCAUGGCUUCGACGGGUAGCCGGCCUGAGAGGGCGACCGGCCACAUUGGGACUGAGAUACGGCCCAGACUCCUACGGGAGGCAGCAGUGGGGAAUAUUGCACAAUGGGCGCAAGCCUGAUGCAGCGACGCCGCGUGAGGGAUGGAGGCCUUCGGGUUGUAAACCUCUUUUGUUAGGGAGCAAGGCAUUUUGUGUUGAGUGUACCUUUCGAAUAAGCACCGGCUAACUACGUGCCAGCAGCCGCGGUAAUACGUAGGGUGCAAGCGUUAUCCGGAAUUAUUGGGCGUAAAGGGCUCGUAGGCGGUUCGUCGCGUCCGGUGUGAAAGUCCAUCGCUUAACGGUGGAUCCGCGCCGGGUACGGGCGGGCUUGAGUGCGGUAGGGGAGACUGGAAUUCCCGGUGUAACGGUGGAAUGUGUAGAUAUCGG
This 532-nucleotide ribosomal RNA is filed under the name Bifidobacterium breve. RNAcentral describes it as "bacterial SSU rRNA". It matches the Rfam family "Bacterial small subunit ribosomal RNA", at positions 158 to 700 of the family's 1533-position model. The record is from RNAcentral. Lineage: Bacteria; Bacillati; Actinomycetota; Actinomycetes; Bifidobacteriales; Bifidobacteriaceae.